UACGGAGGGGGCUAGCGUUGUUCGGAAUUACUGGGCGUAAAGCGCACGUAGGCGGCUUUGCAAGCUAGAGGUGAAAGCCCGGGGCUCAACCCCGGAAUUGCCUUUAAAACUGCAUCGCUAGAAUUGUGGAGAGGUAAGUGGAAUUCCGAGUGUAGAGGUGAAAUUCGUAGAUAUUCGGAAGAACACCAGUGGCGAAGGCGACUUACUGGACACAUAUUGACGCUGAGGUGCGAAAGCGUGGGGAGCAAACAGG
Molecule: ribosomal RNA, 253 nt
Filed under: uncultured bacterium
Lineage: Bacteria
Description: partial 16S ribosomal RNA
Rfam family: Bacterial small subunit ribosomal RNA
Source: RNAcentral